Molecule: long non-coding RNA, 542 nt
Organism: Polypterus senegalus (gray bichir)
Lineage: Eukaryota; Metazoa; Chordata; Cladistia; Polypteriformes; Polypteridae
Exons: 3
Source: RefSeq, a predicted model, not a curated record
ACUUUUUUUAAUCAAAGAACUGUCAGGUCAUUGGUUUACCAUGUGGCUUUGUUAAAACGUAAAUGUUUGUUUAGCGUCUGAAGAAGCAGUUACCAGUUUGCCGCCAGCUUCCAGCUCUUAAAGUAGUAACUACAGCAAAAUGUUCGCUCUGCCCCAGUGCUGUGUCUAUGAAGACGAAACAAAAAAAGAUCCAUGGGGACAUCCCAGCAUUCAACAGGAGACAUGGCACAGACUAUGCCUGAACUUGUGACAAGUUUAAAGGUCAUUCAAAAUGAUCCUUCAAAACUCAACCUGUGCCUUUUCCAUUGCAAUUUAUUGAUUUUGGAUCUCUUGCUAUUUGGCUUUGUGCUUCGUUUCUUGGUUUCUGAUUCCUGUCUUGUGCUCUGUAUUUUGAUGAUCUGGUUGGGUUGAUGUCCCAGUUUUCACCUCCACUGUUUGACUACACAGUUUCCUUCUCUGUGUGCUGACUGUCAAGAAAAGCAUAAGGUACCUGCUGCGUUCAUAUUUCUAAGUAAAUAAUGGCAGGUUAUUAAAAUCCUAUA